GCCCCCAUAGCCCAACUGGUAGAGGCAGCCGGCUUAAACCCGGCGAAGUACGGGUUCGAAUCCCGUUGGGGGCA
RNAcentral lists this transfer RNA (74 nucleotides) under Myceligenerans salitolerans. RNAcentral describes it as "tRNA-Leu". It matches the Rfam family "tRNA". From Rfam's summary of the family: Transfer RNA (tRNA) molecules are approximately 80 nucleotides in length. Their secondary structure includes four short double-helical elements and three loops (D, anti-codon, and T loops). Lineage: Bacteria; Bacillati; Actinomycetota; Actinomycetes; Micrococcales; Promicromonosporaceae. The record is from RNAcentral.